CCUACGGGAUGCUGCAGUGAGGAAUAUUGGUCAAUGGGCGCGAGCCUGAACCAGCCAAGUAGCGUGAAGGAUGACUGCCCUACGGGUUGUAAACUUCUUUUAUAAAGGAAUAAAGUGAGGCACGUGUGCCUUUUUGUAUGUACUUUAUGAAUAAGGAUCGGCUAACUCCGUGCCAGCAGCCGCGGUAAUACGGAGGUUCCGUUCGUUAUCCGGCUUUCUUGGGGUUAAAGGGAGCGUAGAGGGGUUGUUAAGUCAGUUGUGAAAGUUUGCGGCUCAACCGUAAAAUUGCAAUUGAUACUGGCAGUCUUGAGUACAGUUGAGGUAGGCGGAAUUCGUGGUGUAGCGGUGAAAUGCUUAGAUAUCACGAAGAACUCCGAUUGCGAAGGCAGCUUACUAAACUGCCACUGACAUUGAUGCUCGAAAGUGUGGGUAUCAAACAGGAUUAGAUACCCCAGUAGUC
This 460-nucleotide ribosomal RNA is filed under the name uncultured bacterium. Its description in RNAcentral is "partial 16S ribosomal RNA". It matches the Rfam family "Bacterial small subunit ribosomal RNA", at positions 338 to 795 of the family's 1533-position model. The record is from RNAcentral.